AAGUCGUAACAAGGUUUCCGUAGGUGAACCUGCGGAAGGAUCAUUAACACGUGUAUUACUCACGUAUUAAACUAACCGAGAACUGUUAUUCAUGUCCUAUGCGAGAACGUGGGGGAGAUUUUGAGGAUCAAUCUGGGUGUGAGAACAAGAAGGAAACUUUUUGUUCUCUGCUUCUCUUAAUCGCGCAAGGUCCGUCCUGCAGCCCAUGCCUCGUUAUAGAAGAUGCACUUCACUUCGUUAAGCGCGCACCAUCGCUUGCGAUAUGGGGUAACUUUAUUAACCCUUUUAUUUACUAUUCAUUACUGAUUUGUAUGUUUAUAUCGAAUUCCUGACUUCGCGGUCGGUUGAGUCUGAUAUAGAUGUCGUAUAUUACUAAUACGAAACAACUCUUAGCAAUGGAUAUCUUGGUUCUC
This 413-nucleotide unclassified non-coding RNA is filed under the name fungal sp. RNAcentral's name for it is "partial internal transcribed spacer region". The stretch from base 1 to 46 matches the Rfam family "Eukaryotic small subunit ribosomal RNA", at positions 1786 to 1831 of the family's 1831-position model. The record is from RNAcentral. Lineage: Eukaryota; Fungi.